AAUAGAUACCCCGGUAGUCCACGCCGUAAACGAUGGCCACUCGGCCUUUGGGGGCGGAAUCUCCGCCCGUGGGGGCCUUAGCUAACGCGGGAAGUGGCCCGCCUGGGAACUACGAGCGCAAGCUUAAAACUCAAAGGAAUUGACGGGGGGCCCGCACAAGCAGCGGAGCGUGUGGUUUAAUUCGACGCAACGCGCAGAACCUUACCCAGGUUUGACAUGCACCAGACCGGGCUGGAAACAGUCCUUCCCCUUGUGGGUUGGUUUACAGGUGGUGCAUGGUUGUCGUCAGCUCGUGUCGUGAGAUGUUGGGUUAAGUCCCGCAACGAGCGCAACCCUCGUUCUAUGUUGCCAGCACGUGAUGGUGGGGACUCAUAGGAGACUGCCGGGGUCAACUCGGAGGAAGGUGGGGACGACGUCAAAUCAUCAUGCCCCUUAUGUCUUGGGCUUCACGCAUGCUACAAUGGCCGGUACAGGACGAGCCGAAACCGCGAGGUGGAGGAAAUCCCUAAAACUGGGCUCAAUUCGGAUCGCAGGCUGCAACUCGCCUG
Molecule: ribosomal RNA, 548 nt
Filed under: uncultured bacterium
Lineage: Bacteria
Description: bacterial SSU rRNA
Rfam family: Bacterial small subunit ribosomal RNA
Source: RNAcentral